GGGAGAGAGAGAGAGAGAGGGGGGGAGAGAGAGAGAGAGAGAGAGAGAGAGAGGGGGAGGGAGGGAGAGAGAGGGGAGGGGAGAGAGGGAGAGAGAGAGAGAGAGAGAGAGAGAGAGAAUUUAAUAAAGUAUUUAAUUUCCUUGUUUACCACAACAAAUCUACUAACCCUACACAUUUUAUGAAUUGAAAAAUCAUGGUGGAGUAUGCAUUUUUAAAUUUCCAAUUGAUGUAAUCCAUUAAUGAUUUGACUUGUCUGAAUCGAAUAUGGCCAUUUCGUAUCAUGAGGGCGAAAGCAUAUAUUCCUGAACUGUAGGCUACACAUUUUACAUUGGAAACUAAAUUGUGAUUAUGUUCUAUUUUGAAUCAAAUGUUAUUCUAUUAUAAUGCGGAUAGUGGAGAAUAUUUAUUUAUUUGUAGAACAACAUGACAACACCCAAUUUUGAAUCUUUGUAAUUUCGUACAGGGCUGCUGUGGUAUAUUGCAGUGGUAUAUUGCAGCCUACUUUACUGAAGAAACAAGGUCUGAAAUAGAAAGAGAUGUGGUAGGGAAAGUCAUUUUAUGAUGGUACUGAAAUUGUCUAUCACACACUGAUGCAAUCCACAUCACGUUCAUUCACAAUGUGGUCGGCCAAUAAAUUAAAAGUUCUUCAAUAACUGUAUUUUCGCAAAGUUAUAAUCAUCAUAAUGAACAUAGACUGCAUUUCCAGUCAAAUCGUUUCAUUUCAGCUGUAAUGUCUUUCUUCCAAAUCUCUUUUUAAUAUUUUGAUUUCGUUGUUCCUGAUAGGAUGUGUCUUCAUUAGGGGAGUAGUGAAGGAGGACCACGACCAUUUCUGCUGUCUAAUAUCCAGCCGGGGUGACACCGUAACAGUGUCAAAUCACUAGUUUUAUUCCUCUCUUUUCCCCGUUGCAACCAGGGUUAUUUCAUCUCUGUAUUCAAUCAGGCCUUAAUGUCCCAAAAAUGCUGCAGUUGUAGCCUACCGUCCAAUGAGGCCUGCGUAUCUCAAAGCCAUAUCAAAGAUCUUGGUUGCAAAAUAGUUGCUAUAUUGCUGAACACUGAGAGCGGAGAAAUAAAAAACGUGUUCCUAAAGAAAGCUGAUAACCUCCAAGUGUGACAACGAGACAGCUGUGUUUUGCCCGGCAAUAGAAUUUUAAAAGGUUAUUCAAAUCAGAACACUUUGUUUUCUCUCGGAGCAUUUGAGAGUGGUUUGAUCAACACAGCAGCAGGCCCAUGAGAAACGGGUACAGGAGCAGACAGACACUGUCAUUACAGGAAUCACGAGGAUAAUGCACUUUACUGUUCGACCAAAAUCAUGGUUUUAGCCUCCUAAACAUUUUGAGUGAGGUGACCAUGUAGAAUGUGCAGCUCGCACUGAUGCAACCAAUUAAAAAUGUAACUCGCACAGCCAAGUCAAAGGGCCGCAAUAUGCGACUAAAUGGUGUCAGAACGGAGCCCUGGUGUGUGUGUGUGUUUACCGCAGAGGGCUGUGAAGACAGUAGCUGUUGUAGUUGGUUCUGGUGCAGUAAGAGCCUCUGCUGCUCAGACAAGGCACCCAACCUGAGUGAAAACACACAAAGCCAGACACGCAGUUAGAAAACUACAACACACACACACACCUGCUUUUAGCUGUAGCUGAGCUGAUGUAAUCCAAUAGGAAAGCAGGGAGGGAGAAAAUAUAACAACAUCAACUUGAAUCUAAAGACAGAGCGAGAAACAACCAUGUCAAUCAAUGGAAGGACAGAUAGGUAGCCAGCCAGCCAGACUACCAGGUAGCCAUGCAGCCAGCCAGCCAGACAGACUACCAGGUAUCCAUGCAGCCAGCCAGACAGACUACCAGGUAUCCAUGCAGCCAGCCAGCCAGACUACCAGGUAUCCAUGCAGCCAGCCAGCCAGACAGACUACCAGGUAGCCAUGCAGCCAGCCAGCCAGACAGACUACCAGGUAUCCAUGCAGCCAGCCAGACUACCAGGUAGCCAUGCAGCCAGCCAGCCUACCAGGUAGCCAUGCAGCCGGCCAGACUACCAGGUAGCCAUGCAGCCAGCCAGCCAGACUACCAGGUAUCCAUGCAGCCAGCCAGCCAGACUACCAGGUAUCCAUGCAGCCAGCCAGCCAGACUACCAGGUAUCCAUGCAGCCAGCCAGCCAGACUACCAGGUAUCCAUGCAGCCAGCCAGCCAGACUACCAGGUAUCCAUGCAGCCGGCCAGCCAGACUACCAGGUAUCCAUGCAGCCGGCCAGACUACCAGGUAGCCAUGCAGCCAGCCAGACAGACUACCAGGUAUCCAUGCAGCCAGCCAGACAGACUACCAGGUAUCCAUGCAGCCAGCCAGCCAGACUACCAGGUAGCCAUGCAGUCGGCCAGCCAGACUACCAGGUAGCCAUGCAGUUAGCCAGACAGACUACCAGGUA
Molecule: long non-coding RNA, 2406 nt
Organism: Oncorhynchus tshawytscha (Chinook salmon)
Lineage: Eukaryota; Metazoa; Chordata; Actinopteri; Salmoniformes; Salmonidae
Source: Ensembl